AAAGAAGAAGCUUCUGAACUCCGACAACUUGUAUGUGAACUAAAAUCUAACAAGAACAGCGACGAUGACAACAACUUUGUAAGAAAGUUAUCGGAAUGAGAUUGUGGUUUCUUUGUAUCAAUCGAAAAGAUCAAGGGGUUUUGGGUUUUGGUUCUUUCUCGAAUAUAAAGUUGGUGAUGAUCAUAUAUUAGUAUAUUAUAUUGUAUGCAUACUAUAUAUAUUGAAGUUAGAUAAUAUAACUUAUAGUUCUUGAGCG
This 256-nucleotide long non-coding RNA is filed under the name Brassica napus (rape). RNAcentral describes it as "long non-coding RNA (BNAP_LNC012092)". Lineage: Eukaryota; Viridiplantae; Streptophyta; Magnoliopsida; Brassicales; Brassicaceae. The record is from RNAcentral.